AUUUAGUCCAUCAGGCAAAUUGGUUCAGAUUGAGUAUGCAUUAGCUGCUGUAGCUUCUGGUGGAUCUUCUGUUGGCAUUAAAGCUACAAAUGGUGUUGUGCUGGCUGCUGAAAAGAAACAAAAAUAAAUUCUUUAUGAUGAUUCCACCAUUCACAAGGUUGAUGAAGAAGAAUCUGUUAACGAACAAGAAGAGAGAGAGAAAUCUCACCUGUCAUGAGAAACUUGCGUAGCUGAAUUAAACAUAUUGGCUGAAAAUGUUAACCACUGCAAAAAAACUGUCACUGAAACGUUGUCCUCAGAAAUAGUGUUUACUCAAAAAAUUGUAAUGCAUGUCCUUGUUUUUGUGGGCAACGCCCAUUUUUGCAGGGCAAAU
Long non-coding RNA from Xenia sp. Carnegie-2017, 373 nucleotides. RefSeq lists it as uncharacterized. The record is from RefSeq and is a predicted model, not a curated record. NCBI's taxonomy places the organism in Eukaryota, Metazoa, Cnidaria, Anthozoa, Malacalcyonacea, Xeniidae. The transcript has 3 exons.